UACUGUUAAUGAUGAAAUAGUUUGAAACAAUGGGAAUCUCUCUGAAAGGUAAUGAAGAGAUGUUUACACUGAAACAGUA
Molecule: small nucleolar RNA, 79 nt
Organism: Elgaria multicarinata webbii
Lineage: Eukaryota; Metazoa; Chordata; Lepidosauria; Squamata; Anguidae
Product: small nucleolar RNA SNORD79
Exons: 1
Source: RefSeq, a predicted model, not a curated record